Molecule: long non-coding RNA, 1543 nt
Filed under: Rhinopithecus bieti (black snub-nosed monkey)
Lineage: Eukaryota; Metazoa; Chordata; Mammalia; Primates; Cercopithecidae
Description: lncRNA (ENSRBIG00000045251.1)
Source: RNAcentral
CCGGACCAUGGUUGCCGCCGGAGGCCUAGGUCUGGUUAUGCCUGGUAGAGGCUGUUUAGGAUUGUCCGAGGCGAGAUCUGCCCAGCUGCUUUUCGUCUAUCUUUGAGGUGUGGGGAUGAAGGCCGGGGCAAUCCCUGAGAGGGCAUCCUUGUAGGUCCAGCGUCUCACGGAGUUUUGCAGAACGUUCCAGAGCAGACUGAAUGGGAUGGUCUUAAUUUCUGUCCCCACUUUCGGCCUUUUCUUUUCUUCCACCAGUAUAUUACCUUUGCUCCGCUCAGAGAGAUGUCCUCUAAUAACGCCAGCGACUCAUUGUGCUCCUAGCAGAGGGCACGCACCACCCUCCUGUGUGUUCGCAUAGGUCAAAUACAGGUUUGCUCCUUUGCACAUUUAGCGCUGUGAGUAUACAAGGUAGACACAGAAGACAAGGCAGAGAGGAGCACAGGAGGGAAGAAGAGCCCCUGGGGAAGAAGUCCAGUCUUUGCAGUUUCCCCCACUGUGGCAGAGGGGCCACCCUCCUCCCUUGUUCCUCAGGAGGCUCCUGGUCGACUUUUCAGAACCAUCUCCUCUUCCCAGUAAACACAGAAGACAAGACAGAGAGGAGCACAGGAGGGAAGAAGAGCCCCUGGGGAAGAAGUCUUUCAGCUUCUUCCAUGCAGCAUGUCUUUCAUGCUGGUUCUUUCUGGCUGACCUGAAACACAGAUGCCUGCAGAGGAAGGUCAUACCUGAAAAGAGAUUCAGGAUCCUUGCAGCACCGGAAGUAUCAUGAAGUACUGGCCACCUAUCUGCUCCCAGGCUACAAGAGAUCCAAGCUGGAGACUAUAGCACAGUCCCAGAACCUCCCUCCCCACCUUCAGCUGAUCCCACCACUAGCUGCACUCCUUCCCCAUCCACAAAGCACAUCACAGCAUCUCAGGCAACAGAUUGCUGGAUCGGAUGGUAACAACAUGUUUUGUAAGAGUUUUGUGAGAAACUGCCAACUGUCUUCCAAAGUGGCUACACCAUUUUGCAUUUCCACCAGCAAUUAAUGAGAAUUCCUGUUGCUCCAUAUUUGGUGGUGUCAGUGUUUGCAAUUUUGGCCAUUCUAAUAAGUGUAAAGUGCUAUGUUAUUGUUGUUUUAAUUUGCAAUUCCCAGAUGACAUGUGAUGUGGGACAUCUUUUCAUACGCUUAGUUGCCUUUUGUGUAUCUUUUUUCGUUGAGGUGUCUGUCUGUUAAGGUAGUUUGCCCAUUUUCAAUCCGUUGUGCAUUUUCUUUUUGUUAAGUUUUAAGAGUUGUUGGUAUAUUUGGAAUAACAGUCCUUCAUGAGGUAUCUCUUUUGUACAUCGUUUCUCCCUAUGUCUUAUCUCUCAUUCUCUGGUCAGUGUCAUUUGCUAACCAGCAGUUUUUAGUUUGAAUAAAGUCCAGCUUAUCAAUGCUUUCUUUCAUGGAUUGUGCCUUUUGAGUCAUAUCUGGAAAGUCUUUGCCAAACCCAAAGUAGAUUUUCUCCUGUGCUAUCUUUUAAGAGUUUUAUAGUUUUAUGUUCUGUAUUUUGGCCUAUGAGCUAUG